Astyanax mexicanus (Mexican tetra) is the source of this 248-nucleotide long non-coding RNA. RefSeq lists it as uncharacterized. The transcript has 3 exons. NCBI's taxonomy places the organism in Eukaryota, Metazoa, Chordata, Actinopteri, Characiformes, Acestrorhamphidae. The record is from RefSeq and is a predicted model, not a curated record.
UGCACAGGUGGAGCUUUCUCUACGGCUACUACAACACCUGCACAGGUGGAGAUUUCUCUGUGGAUACUAGAACACCUGCACAGGUGGAGAUUUCUCUGUGGAUACUAGAACACCUGCACAAGUGGAGUUUUCUCUAUGGAUACUAGAACACCUGCAAAGGUGGAGCUUUCUCUACAGAUACUAGAACACCUGCACAGGUGGAGCUUUCUCUAUAUGGCUACUAGAACACCUGCACAGGUGGAGCUUUC